AUAUGCUUGUCCCGAAGCUUAAGCCAUGCAUGUCUCAGAGUAACGUAAUGGCGAUGGAGGAAUCUGCGAACGGCUCCGUAUAUCUGUUGUAACCCACCCCCUCUAAGGGCCGAGGCGUCGGUAUAACCGCGGUAAUUCUGGGGCUAAUACAUGUAACGGCUUCGUCCGUCGUGGGCCGCUCCCCUUGAGCGCGCUCGGGCCUUGCCGGCUGACCACUGGGGGGUUCGCCCCCUGGCGCGACGCGGGCAAGUACGCCUUACCGCAGCAACGCAGUGGAGAGCGGGGUGGGCUUCAGACCUAUCAACUAGGCGGCCGGGGAUGGUCCGGUCGCGGUCACAACGGGUACAGAGGAUCAGGGUUCGGUCCUGGAGAGGUAGCCUGAGAAAUCGCUACUACUUCUAAGGAAGGCAGCAGGCGCGCAACGUUCCCCAUGGGGACACCCUGAGGACGUGAAGGGACAUACCAAUGCCCGGCCCAGAAAGCCGGGCAAUUGGAAUGGGGGACCUUUAAACCCCGCACCGAGUAACAAUUGGAGGACAAGUCUGGUGCCAGCACCCGCGGUAAUUCCAGCUCCGAUAGCAUCUCAUUAAGUUGCUGCAGUUAAAACGCUCGUAGUCCCAGCCAGUGCGCCCCGGAGGCCCCUUGUACAACUCCCGGGCCGGGCCGGACCCGCCCGCAAGGGCGGGACCGGUCCGCCGGGGGAAGGACCGGGGAAGCUGGGCCACUCUCCGCUGGGGGUGCCGGAGGCUUGGGGCUUCAGUGCUGCCGGGCCCGGCCCCUGGCAACAUACCUUGAAUAAAUGUGAGCGCUCCACGCAGGCCUUACGGCCGCACAACCCGCAGCAAGGAAUACACGAACAGGGGCCUGCCCUGCUUCAGUGGUCGGGGGCGGGUCAAUGAUAUAUAGGGAGGAUCGCGGCGGGUCACAUGGCUGGGGUAGGGGUGAAAUCCGGUAAUCCCAGCCCGGUGAACGAGAGCGAAGGCAGCCCGCCAGGACCUCCCCCCUGAUCAAGAACGAAAGUCUGGGGAUCGAAGAUGAUCAGAUACCAUCGUAGUCCAGACCCUAAACGAUGCCGGCCAUGGAUGGGCCCUCGUCCAUCCCGACCAGGCCCGGACCUUGUGGGAAACCAUAAGCGUUUGGGCUCCGGGGGGAGUAUGGUCGCAAGACUGAAACUUAAAGGAAUUG
This 1185-nucleotide ribosomal RNA is filed under the name Hemitrichia serpula. RNAcentral describes it as "SSU rRNA". It matches the Rfam family "Eukaryotic small subunit ribosomal RNA", at positions 26 to 1155 of the family's 1831-position model. The record is from RNAcentral. Lineage: Eukaryota; Evosea; Eumycetozoa; Trichiida; Trichiidae.